GGUCUUAUAGUCAAAAUUUAUGAUUUCAAAUUGCAAGUUUGAGAGUGGGUGAAGCCCUAAGGCUU
Molecule: transfer RNA, 65 nt
Filed under: Lathrobium brunnipes
Lineage: Eukaryota; Metazoa; Arthropoda; Insecta; Coleoptera; Staphylinidae
Description: tRNA-Cys
Source: RNAcentral